AGCAGCCGCGGUAAUUCCAGCUCCAAUAGCGUAUAUUAAAGUUGUUGCAGUUAAAAAGCUCGUAGUUGAAUUUCGGGGUUAGUAGGUUGGUCGUGCCACUGGUACGUACUGGUCUCACUGACUCCUCCUUCCUGAUGAACUGUAAUGCCAUUAAUUUGGUGUUGCGGGGAAACUGGACUGUUACUUUGAAAAAAUUAGAGUGUUUAAAGCAAGCUAACGCUUGAAUACAUUAGCAUGGAAUAAUGAAAUAGGACGUUCGAUCCUAUUUUGUUGGUUUCUAGGAUUGACGUAAUGAUUAAUAGGGAUAGUUGGGGGCAUUAGUAUUCAAUUGUCAGAGGUGAAAUUCUUGGAUUUAUUGAAGACUAACUACUGCGAAAAGCAUUUGCCAAGGAUGUUUUCAUUAAUCAAGAACGAAAGUUAGGGAUCGAAGACGAUCAGAUACCGUCGUAGUCUUAACCAUAAACUAUGACCGACUAGGAUCGGAUGAUGUUAAUUUUUAAUGUACUUCAUUCGGCGCCUU
This 520-nucleotide ribosomal RNA is filed under the name uncultured Glomus. RNAcentral's name for it is "SSU rRNA". It matches the Rfam family "Eukaryotic small subunit ribosomal RNA", at positions 569 to 1089 of the family's 1831-position model. The record is from RNAcentral. Lineage: Eukaryota; Fungi; Glomeromycota; Glomeromycetes; Glomerales; Glomeraceae.